RNA transcript from Schistocerca serialis cubense, 2594 nucleotides. It is a transcript of the gene named organic solute transporter alpha-like protein, with no coding region annotated. The transcript is spliced from 8 exons. Lineage: Eukaryota; Metazoa; Arthropoda; Insecta; Orthoptera; Acrididae. The record is from RefSeq and is a predicted model, not a curated record.
ACGGAGUCGGCCGCCGCGACGGCGAGUGAAAGUGAGAGCUGGCCGCUGCCGCCACCAGAAGCCGUCUCCAGUCGGUCGUCCGCGCGCCACCGAAGAGGCCCGCCAGCGAGCGUUCGGGUCGAAGACGUCGCUACUGAGCUCCGCACUCUGCCUGCCGGGACUGUCCGCUGGCCGUGGGAAGCAGGUGGAGUCUCUGGAAAGAUGGAGGGGUUUGAGUACAACGCGACAACCGGCGACUCACCUCUGGUGCUGCCACCUGUGAGAGUGUCGGCGAUGUCCGUCAACAGGACAGCUGGUGCCACCUGUGAGCCUGAGAUGGUACCCUCUCUAAGGCAGUACUACACCGCGAUGAACGUGGUGGGGAUGUCGCUGUUCUCUGCGGGGGCGAUGGCCGUGGCGGCGACGCUGCUGCUGUACGUGGACACCCUGCGCCACGUCAUCGGCAGGGCGCCCUCCGCCGUCAAGACGCACACGGCGCUCGUACUCUCCAUAUACCCGGUGGUGGCGUCGGUGACCUACUGCGCUGUGGUGGUGCCGCGCGCGCAGCUGCUGUCGGAGGCGGUCACGCAGGGCAGCUUCAUGGUGUGCCUGUACCAGCUGUUCUGCCUGCUGGUGGCCUACUGCGGCGGUGAGGCGGAGCUCAUCCGGCGCGCCAAGCCCAGCUCCCUGGACCCAGCCGUGGGGCCCUGCUGCUGCUGGCCGUGCUGCCGGCUCUGCCUCAAGCCGGCCGCCGUCAACAAGUGCAACGUCCGCAAGCUGCGACUGUUGGUUCUGCAGCUGCCGAUGGUUCAGGGCCUUAUCUACAUGGUGCUGCUGGUCAUGUGGGCAGAAGAGGAGAGCCUGUACCAGGUGAACUACAUGUACCUGCAGCCCGUGGUCGUGCUGUCCAUCCUGUGUGCCAUCUGGGGGAUCUCGAUGACGCUGCGGCUGCUGGCAGAGCUGCUGUCGGGCCACCGUGCGCAGGCCAAGUUCCUCGCACUGCAGUUCGUACUGCUGCUGGCCAAGCUGCAGGGACUGUCUGCGCGGGCCGCAGUGUGGACAGGGCUGCUGCCCUGUCGGCCCCCUAUCACGCCUGCCGUCUACAGCAACUUGGUGUACAACUCUCUGAUGCUCGGUGAGAUGGUCAUCCUCAGCAUAUGGGCACGGUCGCUGUACAAGAAGCCACUUCCAGACAUGGGGCUGCCGGCACAGCGCCCCAUGGAAGUGUGUGUGCUCAGCAACCUGUAUCCACAUGUACUUUCCUCUCUCAACAACAACACAAUAACCUGCAAUAACAACAACACAGGUGCUGUCGAUAAUAACAGCAACAACAGAAAUGGCAGCUGUAGCAAUGGUGAAAGGAAUGAAGAUGACUCUGGAAAGAGCUGAUUGGCAGAUUUUGUGGCUCACUGAGUGAUAGACAGUAACGUGUGAUAAUGUUUUCUGGAGUGGAUGAUUAAAGACAUUUUUAUGGUGCUUAAGCCCCUGAGCUUUAAACUAGAAUGUGACAGUGAUGCAGGUUUAAUCUCAUAUCAGUGACUUAGUGUAACAUUUCCGACAGGAGAUGAACGAACGAAUGAGAGGGAGGCUCUGGACUCGCAGCCUGUCAUUGCCAACUGUUUAUGCUUUGGAGUGCUAGUCCAGCAACACAAACAAGAGGGCUUCUGUGAAGUUUGAAUAGAUGAAGAGACUACUGAAGCCGUGAGGGAAGGACAGGAAUCGUGUCUGGAUAGCUCAGUUGUCAACGACCAUGAAAGUUAAGGUUCUAAGUUCUAUGCCAGUUCCAUCAUACAGUUUGUGUCUGUCAGUAAAUUUUGGAACAGCGCAAACUCCACUGUAGAGUCAAAGUCUUAUCAGUCAAAACCUUUAGGUCAUUACUAUUUCAGUCACUGUUUCCCCUUCAACAAUUUUGUAAUAAAAUAUACAAUGUACCAAAUCCCAGGCUGCUUUGAGAAUAACUUUAUAAACUUUAUACACAAGUCACAUCUCAUUUGUGUCCCCAAUCCCAGUCAGAUUUUAGAUGACAUUCCUCCCCCCCUCCCCCAGCCACCCCCUCCCACUGUCUGUCAUCUGACUGGUAUGACAUGGGCUAUCAGAGACUCCUCCCCUACACUAGCCUCAUCACAUCAGAGCAGCACUUACACCCAAUGUCCUCAAUUACUUGUUGGAUAUAUUACAAUCUCUGUCAUCCCCUACAAUUUUUACCAUUUGAAAGAAUAUGCAAGUUAUUCCCUGGUGUCUUGACACACAUUCUAUCAUACUGUUAUUACUCCUCAUCUUUUCCACAUGUUUCUUUCCCCACUGAUUCUGUGAAGAACAUUCUCAUUCCUUAUCCUGUCAUUCUUCUGUAGCACCAUAUUUCAGAGAUUUCAGAAAUUUCUCUUCUCAUUUGGUUUUCACAUAGUCCAUGUUUCACUACCACUCAAUGCUGUACUCCAAGUGUUCAUUCUCAGAAAGUUCUUCUUCAAAAUUAUGGCCUAUGUUUGAUACCAGUAGACUUCUUUUGGACAAAAAUGCUCUUUUCACUGGUUCUAGUCCAUUUUUUAUGUUGUCUUUGCUUCUGCCAACAUGAGUUACUUUACUUCCAAAGUAAAAGAAGUCCUUAACUUCAUCUA